Mustela erminea (ermine) is the source of this 6293-nucleotide RNA transcript. It is a transcript of the gene named programmed cell death 1 ligand 2, with no coding region annotated. The record is from RefSeq and is a predicted model, not a curated record. Lineage: Eukaryota; Metazoa; Chordata; Mammalia; Carnivora; Mustelidae. The transcript is spliced from 8 exons.
AAAGGACAUUUGAAGAUACACAUAGAGAAGGUCAUGUGAAGAUGGAGACAGAGAUUAGAGUGGUCAGCUACAAUCCCAGAAUGCCAAGGCUUGCCAGAAUCUGCCAGAAGCUAGGAAGAGGCAAGGGAGCAUUCUUCCCUGAAGCCUUCACAGGGCGUGUGGCCUGUUUUCACACCUCUGUCGCCUCCAGAAAUGUGAGAGCGCUGGGAGCACAGUGUCUGUUGUUUGAAGCCACACCGUCUGUGUUAACUCCUGACGACAGCCCUGGGAAGCUCACACUGGAACCUCAACCUGUGUGAGGUUCCAGGCGCAGAGUGAGAACAUUCUGGCGUUCUUUCGCAACCCCUCCUGCCACGAUGCUUGCGCCUGCUUCCCCAGGGACAUGGUUCAAGGAGUACCUGAGGGCCAAGAAGCCAUGCUUAAAAGCAAAACCAAAACUUCUCAGGAGGCUGGGCUUCGGUCAGUUCCUCACAGCCAGUUUUGGUUUGAAUUACCCUCCUGUUACAAGGAAGCCUGAGCUGGAUGGAGAGGAUAUCUUCUCCUCCCUUGCCUCAAGGACUUUAAGUGAUGGUUUUUCAUGACCCAUCCGUGUAGGUCCCUCUGCCAGCCAGAAGGAGUCCUGCCUUGGAGCUACUGCUUGUUGUAGUGCUCAAGGCAUAACCUACAUUUGUUUUGUUUUGUUUUGGCUGUUUGUUGGCUUCCAGGAGGGGAUCUGAUGCAAGGGCAACUAUUGUAUUUUCCUUUGCGUCUUUCCCUGAGGAGAGGUACCAAGUUCUGCUGCGAGUAUCUAAGAGGCUGAGACUCUCUCCUAUCUUGAGCCGGUGUUGCAGAUGGUGAUGAGGCCGCCACGGUUGGAUCGGGUACAGACCAUGUUCCUCCUUCCGCUAAUUUUGAGCCUGGGAAUGCAGCUUCAUCAGACAGCAGCUUUAUUUACAGUGACGGCCCCUAAGGAACUGUACACAGUGGACUAUGGGAGCAAUGUGACCCUGGAGUGUCGCUUUGACACUGGAGGUCACGUGGAACUCAGAAACUUAAAGGCCAGUUUGCAGAAGAUGGAAAACUAUACAUCCUUGCAGAGUAAAAGAGCCAGCUUGCUGGAAGAGCAGCUGCCCCUGGGGAAGGCCUCAUUCCACAUCCCUCGAGUGCAGCUGACGGACGCGGGCCAGUACCGCUGCCUCAUCAUCUACGGCCUCGCCUGGGACUACAAGUACCUGACUCUGAAAGUCAAAGCUUCCUACAAGAAAAUAAACACUUAUUUACUUAGGAUCCCGGGGGUAGAUGAGGUAGAGCUCACCUGCCAGGCCGAAGGUUAUCCGUUGGCAGAAGUAUACUGGGAAAACAUCAGCGUUCCUGCCAACACCAGCCACAUCAAGACCGCUGAUGGCCUCUACCAGGUCACCAGCAUUCUGCGCCUCAAGCUGCACCCCGGCAGGAACGUCAGCUGUGUGUUCUGGAACGCUAACAUGGACGAACGUACCUCAGCCGUCAUUGAAUAUGGUGGCAAAGAACCUGAAACCUCUUCAAACUGGCUGCUUCCUGUUUUCAUCCCUUCCUUCAUCAUUGUUUUGAUAUUCGCAGCUACAAUGAUAGGCCUAAGAAAACAGCUCUUCCGAAAGCUUCCUUUUAGAAAAGACACAACAAAAAAAUCUGUUGCCGCCACGAGGAGGGAAGUGGACAGAGCUCCUGUGGGGGAAGCAUGGAGUGGAAGCUAGGGAGAGAGCCCAGGGAGCAGUCCGGUGCCUUCCUCCUGGGACCUGAGCCUGGAGAGGAGAAUGAGUCUGAAAGAAACGGUGGAAAUGUCUGGUGCGAUGGAGAACUAGCAAAGGUUUUGAACAGAUUUGAACCUGUGGUUUCAGGAGCUGGGGUGACCUGAUGGGACAUCCUUAAGAAGCUUCUGGACUCUGAACAAGAGAGAGGCAGCACCUGGCCACGUGUGCUCAGAGGAAGCCAGGCACCCCACCCCUCCCAGAUCCAGGCGCUCACCUCCACAGCCUGUGACUCUAAGCAAAGCACGAUAGCACUUUAGGAAAUGGCCACCCUGGAUCGUAGACCCCAAUGAGUGUUCUGAGGCUCCUUCUUGCUGCCAGGCUGAAAACAAAGGGAAUUUCUGCCCCCUGCUUUUCCAGAGUGAUUUCCAGAAGCAGAGAUGAGUGGAAAUUUUCAGUUGCAGAAAUGGACCCAUUGCCAAUAGUUAUUUUUAUCAGCAGUUUCUUCUUGAUUCCAGAAAAGCCUAUUGAGUCCAUGAACUCACAGAACUUUAAACAAAGUCAAGCCAUAAUUGGCGUAUCAUAUGGCUUAGUGGAAUCUGGAAAGAAUCUGAGUCAUUUUAAUUAACAGAAAGCAUUUAAGUACACAGUGGACAACUCUAAUUGUGGAGAAAGGCCAUUGAGUAUUUCUGUGAGAUCUAAAUCACAAAGCAUUUGUUUUAACCUGUAAUGGCACCAUACUAAAUGAUUUUUUUUUAAACUCCAUCUUCCCUUUUAAAAAUGCUGUUUUGUUUUGUUUUUUAACCUCAGAAGCCAAGGGCGUACAUUAAAAAAAACCAAAACGCUAAUAUGCCGUACAUGUAAAGAUUUCAGAUGGGUACCCAUAAUGGUCCAAGCCCCAAUUGAAGGCUCCUUUCCUGGCCCUCUCUCUGACUCUGAACUCCACCUUUCAGUGUCUCUGUCCCUGUCCGUGACACAGUGACACUCACGAGUCAAGACCUUUGAUGGCUGGCACUGUAGAUACCCUGUGGGAGCCCCUUGUAUGUGUCCUCGAGGGGGACGACGGUAACCGCAUGCUGCGACAACCGGUGAAUCCUCUUAAAUUUGGUCUGUGUGCUGCAGUCGGGAAGUUUGGAGCACUAGUUGUCCUAUGACAUACCCAGAUGUGUGCACUGUUGAGCUCAGCAGAGUCCUAGGUUCGCGGCCUAUCUCUCUCUCAGUCUGGAGCCAUGAGGAUUGGGGUGCAUGUGAUCGCUUCCCCUUAGACAGCAAGCUCCUGCAGGGCAAGGAGGGAGCAGAUUUGACUAAUGCUGCAGCGAGCUGCCUCAGGCACGACUGACUCUAAGCCUCCUCCUAAUACGGAAGAGAACGGCUACAUGUAACAUUCUUACUUUCUGUGACCUUAAUAUCAUUGGCUAAAAAGAAGAUAAUGGCAAUCCUUAAAAACAGAAGAACUGGAGGAGUUGUGUGUCUUUAAAAAAGAAAAAAGUACCUUUUACAAAAGAAGCAAAAAUAACAUUUGGGCGAGUUUGAGGAAUUGAGAAAGGCCGAGCAAACAGAAAUCACCGAUGAUCAACACAAGUAUUUUCGUUUUUGCUGUUGGCGUUUGGUCCUUGUCCAGACAUGUACACGAUUUCAGCCAUAGUUGUGAUCGUCUGUCCUUUUUUUUUUUUUUUUUUCCAAAUUUGUCAUUGUACCACGGGUUCCCACCCAUGUGGCUGACUAGUCCUCCUAAGUAUCAUUUUUGAUGAAUGCGUGAGUCACAGAUCAUAAUGAGUGGGGAUUGGGCCCAAACUCUCCUCAUCCUCUGACCGCUAUAAGCCCAUAUUUUGACUAGCGGCCUACAGUGACAUUUAGGGUUCCUAAGGAUUAGUAUCAUUUCAGAGUAGUGUUUAGGAAUCCCUGAAAAGCCUGGGUAUUUCCAUUUCCCCCAGUGCACAGACACCUUCAUAAUGACCUCAGAUCCCUUUGGGGAUGGCUUUGAGGAAGAUCUAUAGUAUGCAGCGUUGUUGCAGGGUCCUUUCUGAGAACUGGGGAAGAAGCUAUGACUCUCAGUUGUGAAAACUCAAGUCAGAUUUCUAUUAUAUAAAUCAAGUGAUGCUUUGGUAGGCUGGCCGUCAACUUCAUUCUUAUUAGGGCCAACCACCACUGAAGAUUCCCUGCAAGUAGAGAAUUCUGAUUACUAUUCUGGGAUCAUAUCCUCUCCACUGAAAGCAGGAAGCCCGUCUCAGGGGCAGCAUCUCCUCCCAGCACCCUUGGCAUGCAGAAAACAGCCACCUGGAAGUGUCCACGGUGGCUGGGGCUACCUCACUAAUGCAUUUCUCAAUGCUUUGGUAAAGAGAAUAUUCCUUGGGCCCUUUGACAGUGAGGAAAGAUGCACAGGUUACAUACGAUAAAUUACUCCAUUAUCCCUAACUCCUUAAGCCUUUAGGAUCCUUCCUGUACAUUAUUCCACAGAAAUUCUAUUAACUCAAUGUCACUGUUGAACACAGCUUUCAGCCAAACAACUAAAUAAACAGACCACUCCCAGCUGCUCGAACUCCUACAUUCAUUUCAGCUUGCUUCCACUGUAUAACAAACCUUACGACUUAUGUUUCUCACUUAUGCUUUUAUGAUUGUGUACAUUAGCAAUUCAAGCUGGGUUCAGCGGGGGCGACUCAUUUCUGCAUCAGCUGGGCCCACUCACACAUUUGCAAUAAGUUGACAGAUUGCUUGGAGAAUGCUGGUCUUAGGAGGCCUCACUCACUUGUCUUGAAGUUGGUGCUGGCUGUGGGCUGAGCCAUGCACCUUCGGGAGGUCUAUCCAUGCUUUUUUUUCAGUAUGGAAGCUGAUCCAAAACAGCAAAAAGAGGGCCAAUCCCAACGUGCAAGUAGUUUUCAGGUUUCUGUUUGCAUCACACUUGCUAAUGUCUCAGUGGCCAAAGCAAGUCAGAUAGCUAGGCCAAAAUCAAUGUGGGAGGGACUUAUGUGAGGGCCUGAUCUACAAAAUGGUAUGAUCCCCUGGGGGCUAUUGCUGUAACAAUCUACCCGAGCAUUAAGUCCAAAAACCUAUGAAGAGCAGAUUAUAUCAGGGUUACCUACAUUUAGCCCCAAUCCAAUGUUGUAUUCUGUUUUCCUUGGUCCAAUAUCCUUAGAGUCCAUCUCAGUGUAGAUUAGUUAGGUUUCUUCUAGUAUAAAUUUAACAAAAUCUUGUAAUUCUUUUGGAGUAAAGCCUUCUCCUCCAGAACAAGACUCUGCCCUUCUCCCCCUGAAUAUGCUGGGAUCUGACUCUAAAUAAAAGCCCAAAGACCAUGAGAGCUGAGAGCAGUGGGGUUUGAAAAGGAUAGGGAUCUCCAUGCAAGGGGACUCUCUCAUCUGUGCUAAUUACAGGUUUCCAAGCAAAGGAAGUCUGGUUUCAUCAAAUAGAAAAUGAGAGGCUUCUUCCAAGGGAAGCUCAGGGAUAUUGAGGCAUUAGGGGCAGUCAAAAUUUUCAGCUUCGUCCAGGUCCGCCCAACAUUCCUGUUCCCAGUCGUCAGGGUCCCAUCCUUCCAAAGACCUGCCUCAGCUUUCCCAUGUGAGACUUGGCCAGUCUGUGACUGUUGGACUUGGGUCUGAUUGUUUAGAUACAUCUGUCCUAUAGCUAAAAGGAAUAAGAGAUGUGUUCAGGGCAGGCUCAGAAGCCCUCUGAUGCGCUGAAGACGAUUUGAGCUUUUGAGCUGUAAGCUCUGGGCCAUUAGUGUGUCUCCAAAACCCUGCGUCCUGCUGACACUCAACCUAGCUUGGACAGCCCCUAGUGUAAUGAAUCCCAGUGCCACUGUAUGCUGACUACCUGGUCCCAUUUUCUGCUGGUCAGGAGUUCAGCUCUGAGUUUGAAGCAAAUCCAGCCCAGCGUCCUGUUUUACAGAGUCUGUUUCCUAGGAUUACUCCUGGUAUCCAGUCCUGUACCAGUCAGGGUCUGCUCAGGAAAGUGGAGUGGAUUUAAUAUUAGGAAUUGGUUAUAAAGAUAUUGGAAGGUAGAAAGAGCAAAACGUAGAUAGCCAAGAAACCCAAAUAUUAGAGCUGCAGACAGCAGCUAACUUUGUGACCUGCUUACCAAAGUGACAAGUGCAGGAACUGGAAACGGGAAGGAAUUCUCCGCCUCCAGCAUUCCCAUGCCCUUGGGCCUCCUAUCUAUUGAACUUCCCGGGAAGUCAGCUGGCAAGGGAAUCUGGUAGAUACAGUUUGCUGAAUUCCAGCCCCUUCCUGGAAGGAAGGUAGGUUUGGAACUGAGAACAGGAGGUAAAGAACCAACCAAUUCCUGAGCCAAAACCUAUCUAGGUAAAGGGAGAUAUAUUCCCUGAGAGAGGAAAGCACAGAGGCAAUGGAUUCCAGUUACAUUGCAGCACAAGGAACGUUCUUAAACUUUGUGGCAUUUGCCCAUAUAACAAGAGCCUAAUAUAUAUUUAUUGAUUAACUGGACAAGAAGAUAGCAAUAGGGAACUGCCUUGGCCAAGAACAUAGAAUAAAAUAAAUUAAUUUUUAAAUGCAUUUUGUAGAAGAAGUUGUAUCAGUUGCAUCAUUUGGUUGCAAGUGAAAGAAAACCUGAUGCAAAUGGGCUUAUAUUAAAAAA